Molecule: ribosomal RNA, 475 nt
Filed under: uncultured bacterium
Lineage: Bacteria
Description: SSU rRNA
Rfam family: Bacterial small subunit ribosomal RNA
Source: RNAcentral
AGGACGAACGCUGGCGGCGUGCUUAACACAUGCAAGUCGAACGGAAAGGCCCUUUCGGGGGUGCUCGAGUGGCGAACGGGUGAGUAACACGUGGGUGAUCUGCCCUGCACUUUGGGAUAAGCCUGGGAAACUGGGUCUAAUACCGAAUACACCUUGCUGGCUGCAUGGCUGGUGGGGGAAAGCUUUUGCGGUGUGGGAUGGGCCCGCGGCCUAUCAGCUUGUUGGUGGGGUGAUGGCCUACCAAGGCGACGACGGGUAGCCGGCCUGAGAGGGUGUCCGGCCACACUGGGACUGAGAUACGGCCCAGACUCCUACGGGAGGCAGCAGUGGGGAAUAUUGCACAAUGGGCGAAAGCCUGAUGCAGCAACGCCGCGUGAGGGACGAAGGCUUUCUGAGUUGUAAACCUCUUUCAGCAGGGACGAUUGUGACGGUACCUGCAGAGAAGCCCGGCAACUCGCGCCAGCAGCCGCGGUAA